AUAAUUACAUUUUACAUUGGAAUAGCGGCUUCAGAAUUCAGCUAUUGGUUUGAAAUUCCAUUAAAUUCAACGAGAGAUCCUAGGUUAAGAUUGAUUUAAAUUUGCAUACAUUUUCAUAUAUUUAGGGCAAAAUAAAGGGAGGCCGGGAGAAGCUGUUAGCCAUUGCCAACAACAGUUUCUCAAAAUUCAGCUGUACUAGAAUUUCGAAGGGACUACGGGACGGUAAUAGGUGAGCUUUCCCCACCACAGCUGGCUCUUAGCUCUGCAAAGCGGCCUUAGCCCGCUGUCUGUGGGGAAGACCAAUCUCACGGUUGUAUACUGCUUCACAAACAAGAGAAAAUCUGCAGGUGCUGGAAAUCCGAGCAACACACAAAAUGCAGGCCAGGCAGCAUCUUUGGAAAAGAGUACAGUCGAUGUUUCAGGCUGAGACCCUUCAGCAGGAAUAGAGAAAAAAAGACUUGUUGGAAGUGACAAUCCUGGGCACUGGGAUUGUAUUGCAGCUUUCGGGAAUAAUUCUAUCUGUGCCUUCAGGCAUGGGACUGCUGGUGGUCAGCUGACCACUUCUUAUGCUCAUCUAUAAAGGACUGGAAGUGCUUAAUUUUCAUUUGUUUUGCUGAAAUAUAUCACCAAAGAAGAAUUUUUGCUGCGGAGAGAUGCUGCCUGACCUGCUGAGUAUUUUCAGCAUUUUCUGCUACUGUACAGCCAAUAGUUUAACAGUGGCUGGUGGGAUAUCCUUGGCUUUGUAAAAUAUAACAACUCAGGGUUAAAGAGCAUCUGCAACAUCACUUCUAAGCCAAGAGGAGAGACGUUUAAACUCCAAACCUCAUUCCAACCUGCUUCUGAAACAAGGGCUCCCCCAUAAUAAUAACAGCUCACCUUAGAUAUUCAGAGAUGUUAACCCCCUCAGAUCUGACACGGUUGAAACCCUGGAUCAGACGUCUUCCUGG
Hypanus sabinus (Atlantic stingray) is the source of this 947-nucleotide long non-coding RNA. RefSeq lists it as uncharacterized. The record is from RefSeq and is a predicted model, not a curated record. NCBI's taxonomy places the organism in Eukaryota, Metazoa, Chordata, Chondrichthyes, Myliobatiformes, Dasyatidae. The transcript is spliced from 4 exons.